AUUGAACGCUGGCGGCAGGCCUAACACAUGCAAGUCGAACGGUAGCACAGAGAGCUUACUCUCGGGUGACGAGUGGCGGACGGGUGAGUAAUGUCUGGGAAACUGCCCGAUGGAGGGGGAUAACUACUGGAAACGGUAGCUAAUACCGCAUAACGUCGCAAGACCAAAGUGGGGGACCUUCGGGCCUCACACCAUCGGAUGUGCCCAGAUGGGAUUAGCUAGUAGGUGGGGUAAUGGCUCACCUAGGCGACGAUCCCUAGCUGGUCUGAGAGGAUGACCAGCCACACUGGAACUGAGACACGGUCCAGACUCCUACGGGAGGCAGCAGUGGGGAAUAUUGCACAAUGGGCGCAAGCCUGAUGCAGCCAUGCCGCGUGUAUGAAGAAGGCCUUCGGGUUGUAAAGUACUUUCAGCGGGGAGGAAGGCGGUGAAGUUAAUAACUUCACCGAUUGACGUUACCCGCAGAAGAAGCACCGGCUAACUCCGUGCCAGCCGCCGCCGUAA
RNAcentral lists this ribosomal RNA (504 nucleotides) under uncultured bacterium. RNAcentral describes it as "partial 16S ribosomal RNA". It matches the Rfam family "Bacterial small subunit ribosomal RNA", at positions 30 to 523 of the family's 1533-position model. The record is from RNAcentral.